UACAGAGGUCUCGAGCGUUAGGCGGAAUCACUGGGCUUAAAGCGUGUGUAGGCGGAUCCGUAAGUACCUUGUGAAAUCCCACGGCUUAACCGUGGAACUGCUUGGUAUACUGCGGGUCUUGAGCCGCCUAGGGGCGAGCGGAACAGAUGGUGGAGCGGUGAAAUGCGUAGAUAUCAUCUGGAACGCCAACGGUGAAAACAGCUCGCUGGGGGUGUGCUGACGCUGAGACACGAAAGCCAGGGGAGCAAACGGG
Molecule: ribosomal RNA, 253 nt
Filed under: uncultured bacterium
Lineage: Bacteria
Description: partial 16S ribosomal RNA
Rfam family: Bacterial small subunit ribosomal RNA
Source: RNAcentral